Molecule: ribosomal RNA, 459 nt
Filed under: uncultured bacterium
Lineage: Bacteria
Description: partial 16S ribosomal RNA
Rfam family: Bacterial small subunit ribosomal RNA
Source: RNAcentral
CCUACGGUGGGCUGCAGUGAGGAAUAUUGGUCAAUGGCCGAGAGGCUGAACCAGCCAAGUCGCGUGAGGGAAGACGGCCCUACGGGUUGUAAACCUCUUUUGUCGGGGAGCAAAGCGAGUCACGUGUGACUCAUUGAGAGUACCCGAAGAAAAAGCAUCGGUAAACUCCGUGCCAGCAGCCGGGGUAAUACGGAGGAUGCGAGCGUUAUCCGGUUUUAUUGGGUUGAAAGGGUGCGCUGGCGGAGGUGCAAGUCAGCGGUAAAAUUGCGGGGCUCAACCCCGUACUGCCGUUGAAACUGCAGCCCUUGAGUCCGCGAGAAGUAUGCGGAAUGCGUGGUGUAGCGGUGAAAUGCAUAGAUAUCACGCAGAACUCCGAUUGCGAAGGCAGCAUACCGGCGCGCAACUGACGCUCAUGCACGAAAGCGUGGGUAUCGAACAGGAUUAGAUACCCCUGUAGUC